RNAcentral lists this ribosomal RNA (301 nucleotides) under uncultured bacterium. RNAcentral describes it as "partial 16S ribosomal RNA". It matches the Rfam family "Bacterial small subunit ribosomal RNA", at positions 509 to 807 of the family's 1533-position model. The record is from RNAcentral.
CAGUAGCCACGGUAAUACGUAGGUGGCAAGCGUUGUCCGGAAUUAUUGGGCGUAAAGGGCUCGCAGGCGGUUUCUUAAGUCUGAUGUGAAAGCCCCCGGCUCAACCGGGGAGGGUCAUUGGAAACUGGGAAACUUGAGUGCAGAAGAGGAGAGUGGAAUUCCACGUGUAGCGGUGAAAUGCGUAGAGAUGUGGAGAAACACCAGUGGCGAAGGCGACUCUCUGGUCUGUAACUGACACUGAGGAGCGAAAGCGUGGGGAGCGAACAGGAUUAGAUACCCCCGUAGUCCCUGUCUCUUAUAC